This 453-nucleotide ribosomal RNA is filed under the name uncultured bacterium. RNAcentral's name for it is "bacterial SSU rRNA". It matches the Rfam family "Bacterial small subunit ribosomal RNA", at positions 340 to 786 of the family's 1533-position model. The record is from RNAcentral.
UACGGAAGGCAGCAGUGGGGAAUAUUGCACAAUGGGCGCAAGCCUGAUGCAGCCAUGCCGCGUGUAUGAAGAAGGCCUUCGGGUUGUAAAGUACUUUCAGCGGGGAGGAAGGCGAUGCGGUUAAUAACCGCGUCGAUUGACGUUACCCGCAGAAGAAGCACCGGCUAACUCCGUGCCAGCAGCCGCGGUAAUACGGAGGGUGCAAGCGUUAAUCGGAAUUACUGGGCGUAAAGCGCACGCAGGCGGUCUGUUAAGUCAGAUGUGAAAUCCCCGGGCUUAACCUGGGAACUGCAUUUUGAAACUGGCAGGCUUGAGUCUUGUAGAGGGGGUAGAAUUCCAGGUGUAGCGGUGAAAUGCGUAGAGAUCUGGAGGAAUACCGGUGGCGAAGGCGGCCCCUGGGCAAAGCUGACGCUCAGGUGCGAAAGCGUGGGGAGCAAACAGGAUUAGGAUACC